Molecule: long non-coding RNA, 940 nt
Filed under: Canis lupus familiaris (dog)
Lineage: Eukaryota; Metazoa; Chordata; Mammalia; Carnivora; Canidae
Description: lncRNA (ENSCAFG00000056587.1)
Source: RNAcentral
AGUGCCUCUUGCCUGACUGCCCGGCUGCCCCCUGGCUGGCCCCGCGGACACAGCCUCCCCGGGGCCUGGGGGGGUGCACACGGGACCCUCACCUCUGGCCAGGACGGCCACCCUCGGGCCCUCACACCGCCCCGGCGACCCCGCAGCCUGCUCGGAAGGCAGAGGUGGCAUCAGCCCAGGUGGCCUCACAGUUUGGGGAGGCGGCAUUUCGGACAGGCUCCCCGAGAGGGUGCUGGGGAGAGCAGCAGGCUUGCCUGUGACCCCCGGGCCCCUUGGGGUGCGCCUGCCUCUGCCUGACGGCCCGUUAGUGUCCAGGGGACCAGGGCGGACCAUGCUGGCCCGCGGCGGCCCUCCCCUGACUGCUCUUCCAGGCACCGGCCCCUCAUUCCCGGACACGGAGCGCGGGGCGGGCGGCGGUGGGGUCCAGGCCCGGCGAGGGGGACGCACCCACGGGGCUCACGCCGUGCACCCGAGAGCCCUGCGGGGCCAGCCACAGCCGCCCUGCGUCCGUCCCCACGCGGACACCCCGUCAGCCCCGCGUGUCCGCCCCUCUCCCGCGGGGGCCUGGGGCUCUGGGGCGCGGCCCGGCCGGGACCUCCGACCUGCGCCGCCCGCCCCCGGGGCCCGCUCCCGGGCUCAGAGGGCAGCGCCCACCUCGGAGCUUCUGGGCUUCCGCAGACGCUCUUCCCCGGGAGACCUCAGGUCACGGAAGAGCACAGCGGCGCACAAUAAAGAGAAAACAUCCAGGCGAACCAUCUACAGGACCGUUGAUGUACUCGGGCUGCGGGAGGCCCAGACGCCUCACAGGUCCUGCGGGCCCGGGGAUGCCAAGGAGGCUGAGCCCGUGGGGCUGCCCCGAGUCCCUUCUCUGCUCCCCGCGCCGUGUCCUGUUAGCUCCCCAGUGCUUGCACGAAGCCCCCUACCGGGCCGGGCAGGGUGA